Small nucleolar RNA from Lemur catta (Ring-tailed lemur), 100 nucleotides. RefSeq annotates it as small nucleolar RNA U13. NCBI's taxonomy places the organism in Eukaryota, Metazoa, Chordata, Mammalia, Primates, Lemuridae. The record is from RefSeq and is a predicted model, not a curated record. The transcript has a single exon.
GUUUUUCACAGGUUCAUGUGAUGAUAAGAUUCUCAUGCUAAUGUGUGAGGUGUGCCUCCCUCAAACCUUGUUACUACAUCGGCACUUUACCCUUCUGAUG